This 373-nucleotide ribosomal RNA is filed under the name uncultured bacterium. Its description in RNAcentral is "bacterial SSU rRNA". It matches the Rfam family "Bacterial small subunit ribosomal RNA", at positions 523 to 898 of the family's 1533-position model. The record is from RNAcentral.
AUACGGAGGAUGCAAGCGUUAUCCGGAUUCAUUGGGUUUAAAGGGUACGCAGGCGGAAAAUUAAGUCAGUGGUGAAAUCCUGCAGCUUAACUGUAGAACUGUCAUUGAUACUGGUUUUCUUGAAUGCAGUUGAGGUAGGCGGAAUGUGUAAUGUAGCGGUGAAAUGCUUAGAUAUUACACAGAACACCGAUUGCGAAGGCAGCUUACUAAACUGUGAUUGACGCUGAGGUACGAAAGCGUGGGUAGCAAACAGGAUUAGAUACCCUGGUAGUCCACGCCGUAAACUAUGAUCACUCGUUGUUGGCAAUACACCGUCAGCGACUGAGCGAAAGCAUUAAGUGAUCCACCUGGGGAGUACGGCCGCAAGGUUGAA